This 471-nucleotide ribosomal RNA is filed under the name uncultured bacterium. Its description in RNAcentral is "partial 16S ribosomal RNA". It matches the Rfam family "Bacterial small subunit ribosomal RNA", at positions 28 to 506 of the family's 1533-position model. The record is from RNAcentral.
GACGAACGCUGGCGGCGUGCUUAACACAUGCAAGUCGAACGCUGAAGCUUGGUGCUUGCACUGGGUGGAUGAGUGGCGAACGGGUGAGUAAUACGUGAGUAACCUGCCCUUGACUCUGGGAUAAGCCUGGGAAACUGGGUCUAAUACUGGAUACGACAUGUCACCGCAUGGUGGCGUGUGGAAAGGGUUUUACUGGUUUUGGAUGGGCUCACGGCCUAUCAGCUUGUUGGUGGGGUAAUGGCUCACCAAGGCGACGACGGGUAGCCGGCCUGAGAGGGUGACCGGCCACACUGGGACUGAGACACGGCCCAGACUCCUACGGGAGGCAGCAGUGGGGAAUAUUGCACAAUGGGCGAAAGCCUGAUGCAGCGACGCCGCGUGAGGGAUGACGGCCUUCGGGUGGUAAACCUCUUUCAGCACGGAAGAAGCGAAAGUGACGGUACGUGCAGAAGAAGCGCCGGCUAACUACGU